CCAAGACCAUGUAGGGACCCCCCCAAUUCGUAGAGUCUGCUUGGCCGAGACAUAGGUCAAGAAUCCUGUCCUGGGAUGUGGGAAAGGCCCCCACAUCUGUUCCUGUCAGGCCCCAUCAGGGGACUUGGGCGAUGUUCCUGUUAUCAGCUCAAGAGUCCAAGACUGUAAAAAUACUUGUUCACUGAAAAGGUGUAAGUGUAAAUGUUUAUUU
Molecule: long non-coding RNA, 211 nt
Organism: Myotis lucifugus (little brown bat)
Lineage: Eukaryota; Metazoa; Chordata; Mammalia; Chiroptera; Vespertilionidae
Exons: 2
Source: RefSeq, a predicted model, not a curated record